Molecule: long non-coding RNA, 917 nt
Filed under: Equus caballus (horse)
Lineage: Eukaryota; Metazoa; Chordata; Mammalia; Perissodactyla; Equidae
Description: lncRNA (ENSECAG00000046829.1)
Source: RNAcentral
UGGCUGCGGCCGCACCUCCACGCCCGGUCCCCUCCUCUGUUUGAUUUGGCGACAUGAAGGUCCAGAUUAAGAAGAGUCUGCACGGAAUUCCUACACGUCAGUGAAACCUGGCCUUUAGGGUCCAAGGCAUCUCCCAGGCUGGGAGAGAGUUGAACUGAAGAGAACCUGAAACUUGAGUACCAAUUAUUUCUUAAAAAAAAAAACUUUGAAAGGUACAAAAUAGUUGUGAGAAUAGUAACAUCGUAUUUCUUCACCUAAACUCACUAGUUAACAAUUUCCCACAUUUGCUUUCUCACUCUCUCUCCAUCUAUAUGAUUUGCGACAUCCUUUGAGAGUAAUUGCAGACAUCUCAAGAUCAUUAGUGCACCUCUGUUGCCCCUUUCCUUUGGCAAGGUCCCUUGAAACCAGCUGGAGGACUUUUCCUCCAAGGACAGGGGAGGCCUUUGUCCUCUGGAGGAGACUCCUCUUGCCCUUUCAGGAACUUGGCACCUGUUUCCUUCAGGCUGUAGAGAAGCUUCAGGCAUAGUUUUUUUCGCUCUCCCCUUCUCCACCACAGUGCAGGCCAGGCCCACCCUCUGCUUGUAGGAACAGAUAAGUUGUCAUCGCCUCCCCACCUCCCCGCGCCCGCUGCCCUCUGGACUCCUCCUGUUUGCUUUGUCAAGUAGUGGGGUCUUGGGUGAAUCUGAGCUCUAGAACUGCCCACCUCCUCAAGAAGACCCUUCAGGGAUACACAGAUGCCCCCUUCCCUCCUGCCUGGCUCUCUGUGACCAGCAGGGGUCUUAAAGCGUUCUGAUUUGAUAAAAAGGUGAAGAAUCCUUGCCUGUGGUGGGAGGAUAAGAGGAGCAGGUGGGAAAGGCUUCAAAGGGAAGAGGAAAUUUCUUAAGCGCUUUCCAGAAUUGUCUGCAUCUGGCUGUCAG